CUUGGUCAUUUAGAGGAAGUAAAAGUCGUAACAAGGUUUCCGUAGGUGAACCUGCGGAAGGAUCAUUACAAGUGAGGCUACCGAACGUUGGAAACAGCGGUUAGGAGCUUACACCCACCCGUGUUUACAUACUAUUGUUGCUUUGGCGGGCCGUGGCCUCCACUGCGGGCUCUGCUCGUGUGUGCCCGCCAGAGAACCAAACUCUGAGUGUUAGUGAUGUCUGGGUACUAUCUAAUAGUUAAAACUUUCAACAACGGAUCUCUUGGUUCUGGCAUCGAUGAAGAACGCAGCGAAAUGCGAUAAGUAAUGUGAAUUGCAGAAUUCAGUGAAUCAUCGAAUCUUUGAACGCACAUUGCGCCCUGUGGUAUUCCGCAGGGCAUGCCUGUUCGAGCGUCAUUUAACCACUCACGCCUAGCGUGGUAUUGGGGCACGCGGUCUCCGCGGCCCUCAAAAUGAGUGGCGGCGCCGGUGGGCUCUAAGCGUAGUACAUACUCCCGCUAUAGAGUUCCCCCGGUGGCUCGCCAGAACCCCCAAUUUUUACAGGUUGACCUCGGAUCAGGUAGGGAUACCCGCUGAACUUAAGCAUAUCAAUAAGCGGAGGA
RNAcentral lists this small RNA (602 nucleotides) under uncultured Phialocephala. Its description in RNAcentral is "eukaryotic LSU rRNA". The stretch from base 243 to 396 matches the Rfam family "5.8S ribosomal RNA". The record is from RNAcentral. Lineage: Eukaryota; Fungi; Ascomycota; Leotiomycetes; Helotiales.